RNAcentral lists this ribosomal RNA (468 nucleotides) under uncultured bacterium. Its description in RNAcentral is "partial 16S ribosomal RNA". It matches the Rfam family "Bacterial small subunit ribosomal RNA", at positions 28 to 507 of the family's 1533-position model. The record is from RNAcentral.
GACGAACGCUGGCGGCGUGCUUAACACAUGCAAGUCGAACGGAAAGGCCCUGCUUUUGUGGGGUGCUCGAGUGGCGAACGGGUGAGUAACACGUGAGUAACCUGCCCUUGACUUUGGGAUAACUUCAGGAAACUGGGGCUAAUACCGGAUAGGAGCUCCUGCUGCAUGGUGGGGGUUGGAAAGUUUCGGCGGUUGGGGAUGGACUCGCGGCUUAUCAGCUUGUUGGUGGGGUAGUGGCUUACCAAGGCUUUGACGGGUAGCCGGCCUGAGAGGGUGACCGGCCACAUUGGGACUGAGAUACGGCCCAGACUCCUACGGGAGGCAGCAGUGGGGAAUAUUGCACAAUGGGCGGAAGCCUGAUGCAGCCACGCAGCGUGCGGGAUGACGGCCUUCGGGUUGUAAACCGCUUUCGCCUGUGACGAAGCGUGAGUGACGGUAAUGGGUAAAGAAGCACCGGCUAACUCCGUG